RNAcentral lists this ribosomal RNA (440 nucleotides) under uncultured bacterium. RNAcentral describes it as "bacterial SSU rRNA". It matches the Rfam family "Bacterial small subunit ribosomal RNA", at positions 338 to 795 of the family's 1533-position model. The record is from RNAcentral.
CCUACGGGAGGCAGCAGUGGGGAAUAUUGCACAAUGGGCGAAAGCCUGAUGCAGCAACGCCGCGUGAGCGAUGAAGGUCUUCGGGUCGUAAAGCUCUGUACUAAGGGAAGAAUACUGACGGUACCUUAGGAGGAAGCCUCGUCUAACUACGUUCCAGCAGCCGCGGUAAUACGUAGGGGGCUAGCGUUAUCCGGAAUUACUGGGCGUAAACGGUUCUUAGGCGGCCCUUCAAGUCCGUGGUGAAAGGCUACGGCUCAACCGUAGUAAGCCUUUGACACUGUAGGGCUUGAUGGCAGGAGAGGGGAGUGCCAUACCUAGUCUAGCGGUGAAAUGCGUAGAUAUUGGGAGGAACACCAGUUGCGCAGGCGGAUGUCUGGACUGUAACGGACGCUGAGGCACGAAAGCGUGGGGAGCGAACAGGAUUAGAUACCCUUGUAGUC